Molecule: unclassified non-coding RNA, 328 nt
Filed under: soil metagenome
Description: partial contains 5.8S ribosomal RNA, internal transcribed spacer 2, and large subunit ribosomal RNA
Rfam family: 5.8S ribosomal RNA (bases 1-120)
Source: RNAcentral
GAUGAAGAACGCAGCGAAAUGCGAUAAGUAAUGUGAAUUGCAGAAUUCAGUGAAUCAUCGAAUCUUUGAACGCACAUUGCGCCCCUCGGUAUUCCGAGGGGCAUGCCUGUUCGAGCGUCAUUAUAACCCUUCAAGCUCAGCUUGGUGUUGGGGCCUGCUGUAACUGGUAGCCCUUAAAAUCAGUGGCAGUGCUAUUUGGCUCUAAGCGUAGUAAUUCUUCUCGCUAUAGUGUGUAGUGAGCGCUUGCCAGAACCCCAAACUUUUAUAUGAUUGACCUCGGAUCAGGUAGGGAUACCCGCUGAACUUAAGCAUAUCAAUAAGCGGAGGA